CAAUUUCUGGUUUUGGAAUUUUCUGGUCUGGCACAUAGGCUCUCCUUCAGGACUUUGUAGCUCUCUAUUUAAGUUUUAUUUUGGUUGGUUGCACUCUUGUCAGUGCUUUGAGAAUCGGCAUAGGCUCUCCUUCGGGACUUUGUAGCUCUCUAGUUAAGUUUUGUUUUCGUUGGUUGCACUCUUGUUAGUGCUUUGAGAAUUGGUUCACUUUUGUUUUCAGGUAACUGUUCUUGUUGUGUUAUUUUGGUACUUGCUUUGGUCUUAGAGUGGGUUGGUUUGGGUUUCAGUGCCUCUAUCUUGGUGAUGCUUCUUUAUUGACUGAGGUCGGUAUUCUGUUUCCUAUUGCUGCAACUUCUUAGGAAACAGUUGGUCCCCGUUUGUGCGGGUGAGCUACUGUUGGUACUCCUUUGAAGGUUCCAGUGUGUAUUUGGAGUAAUUUUGUGGGUGCAUUCCCUAGUUUGGUUGCGUUUUGCUUCAGAAUUUCGUUACCUUCUCUUAGGGGCUCUUUUGGUUGUUUGGCUAUCAAGACUAGCUGGUGUCUCUCAGACACUUUCUGGACUUCUGGUCAUCUUUAAGAGGGGAUUCAAGCGCUGUAAGCUUCUGCCCCAUUUAGAAACUCCCUUGAAGAUUUGUUGAACUUUGGACAGCCACUAUAUUGCAGCCAUAUGAGCUGUUUGGGUAAAAAUCCACCUACUGUUUCGUUGUUUUUCCUCACUAGCAUCGCCUUCGGAGAGGGAAGUGCAACCUUGUGAGUUGCUUUAUGUUGAUGUUUCCUCAUCAGCAUCAUCUUUGGAGAGGGUUAUUUUUUAGUAUUCGAAUCUUAGUGUAAAUAUUUCUAAAUUUGGUACAACAUUGUUACUUUGUUUGAACUUGAGAGAUCACUCGACCAGUUGCAGUCUUCUAAAAAGAAUCUCAUCAAGAGGGAGCAUUGGAAUUGAUGAGAUUUCAUGCUCUAUUUCAAGGGGAAGUAUUAUAGAAAGUCAAUAUUUAUAUUUAGUUUUAUUCCUAAUUAAUAGGUUUUAUGUAUUCAUAUUUAGGUUGGAUUUAUAUUCCUAUUUAAUGUGGGAUUUGUAUUAGCGUACACACACACACACACACUAAUACAAUGAGAAAAGAUGUAACCUUCUAUUUUAUAGAAUUAAUGAGAAAAGAUGUAGCCCUUUAUGGUUCUUUUUUCCUUUUUCUUCUUCGUUUUUUUAAAUCUUAACAUGGUAUAAGAGCCACCCUUCUAGAGAACCUAAUACCUUAGAAGCUUCCUUGGCUGCCGACCGGCGUUCGUCCAAGAUCAAGUGACCGGUGGCCUCGUGCGUAGCUGCCAUGCACCUUGUUUUUAGAUCGGUUUUGUUUGAGAAUAAAAAUAUUUAAAAUUUUAAUAUUUUUAAUAUUUUCAUGUAAAAUUUAGAGGUGUUGGAAUUGAUAAGAUUCCAUGCUCCAUUUUAAGGG
Molecule: unclassified non-coding RNA, 1443 nt
Filed under: Hevea brasiliensis (rubber tree)
Lineage: Eukaryota; Viridiplantae; Streptophyta; Magnoliopsida; Malpighiales; Euphorbiaceae
Source: RNAcentral